Molecule: ribosomal RNA, 231 nt
Filed under: Microbacterium sp. LEMMJ01
Lineage: Bacteria; Bacillati; Actinomycetota; Actinomycetes; Micrococcales; Microbacteriaceae
Description: partial 23S ribosomal RNA
Rfam family: Bacterial large subunit ribosomal RNA
Source: RNAcentral
GGACGAACCUCUGGUGUUUCAGUUGUUCCGCCCGUAGCACCUCUGAUUAGCUCCGUUCGGUAUGGCUCACCGCUGACAUCAUCUAAGCGGGAAGCCGGCCUCAAGAUGAGACUUCCAUACCUUCGGGUGAGAGGCUCCCAGCCAGACUACUGGGUUGAUAGGCCAGAUGUGGAAGCACGGUAACGUGUGCAGCUGACUGGUACUAAUAAGCCGAUGACUUGAUAACACACC